RNAcentral lists this ribosomal RNA (467 nucleotides) under uncultured bacterium. RNAcentral describes it as "partial 16S ribosomal RNA". It matches the Rfam family "Bacterial small subunit ribosomal RNA", at positions 28 to 506 of the family's 1533-position model. The record is from RNAcentral.
GACGAACGCUGGCGGCGUGCUUAACACAUGCAAGUCGAACGGAAAGGCCCUGCUUUUGUGGGGUGCUCGAGUGGCGAACGGGUGAGUAACACGUGAGUAACCUGCCCUUGACUUUGGGAUAACUUCAGGAAACUGGGGCUAAUACCGGAUAGGAGCUCCUGCUGCAUGGUGGGGGUUGGAAAGUUUCGGCGGUUGGGGAUGGACUCGCGGCUUAUCAGCUUGUUGGUGGGGUAGUGGCUUACCAAGGCUUUGACGGGUAGCCGGCCUGAGAGGGUGACCGGCCACAUGGGGACGGAGAUCCGGCCCAGACCCCGACGGGGGGCAGAGGGGGGGAAUAUUGCACAAUGGGCGGAAGCCUGAGGCAGCAACGCCGGGUGCGGGAUGGCGGCCUUCGGGUUGUAAACCGCUUUCGCCUGUGACGAAGCGUGAGUGACGGUAAUGGGUAAAGAAGCACCGGCUAACUACGU